AUUACAGUAUAAAAUAAAAUACUAAUCAACUUCAAGAAAUUCUUAAACUUUUUAAUAGGAUGCAUGCCUCCUAAGUAAUCAUUUUCAUUAUUUAACUUAUCUUUAAGGAGUUUCUAAAACUCAUAUUAUUAUAUACUUCUUCUUCCACUAUUUUCGGGCUUUGACUAAAGUGAUAUUCCAUACACUACUACAACUUUACGCAAAACUAUAACAACUCGGAUCACAACUAAUUAUUUUAGUUUGCUUAACCAAUUUAUUCUUCAGUCCAAAGUCCUUUAAAAAAAAUUAAUUCUAUCCUGUCUAGAAGCUCUUCUUACUCUUUGAUGAACGUUGGCCCAAUAAUUAAUUAUUCUAGCCUAUUAUAUUUUCCAUAGAACUAACCCACAAUCUUUGCACCAAAUUAGAUAUUCACCCAACUCUAAUUAAAUUAGUUACCCAAUUCUAGGAUUAAAUCAAUCCAUAUACUCCCCCUUCCCCACGUAUCGUCUCUCUCUCAUUCUCACUUGUUCACUCUCUUCCCCAAUUGCACAAAAUUAGACUCCUCCCCCAAAUCAGAUUUUCAUAUGCCUCCCAACAGCAAUCUGCUGCCAUCGACCCGCCGACUCCGAUGGUGUUUCCUCCUCCUCCUCGUCUCUCUCUCUCUCUCUCUCUCUCUCUCUCUCUCUCUCUCCCCCACUCCCUCUUCCUCUCUCGGCUGCUCACGCCACCGCCGCUACUGCUGAUGUGCGUGCAGCGGCGCGCCGUCGCACCUCUCCGUCUUUCGCCGUCGCUGUUGCAGCCUCGUCACAGUCGGGAUUCAAAUUGUAUAUGUGGUGGAAUUUUGGGAUUAAAUGUGUGGUAAUAAGCAGGAGGUGGAGGGGAGUAUUCAAGCAGGAGGUGGAGUACAAUCAAGCAGGAGGUGGAGGAUAGCAAUGAGGAAGGAGGUGGAGGAGAGCUAUCCACAAAGAGAUUUGGUGUUGGAGCUUUUGGGCUUCAAAGAAAAAUAAUUUUAGUGAUUUGGAUUCUCGGAGAGAGGACUUUCAAAAUGAUGAAAUAUUCUUUUUAAAAUUAGGUCCACAAGAAAUAAAUUCUUUUAUUUCUAUUAUGCA
Non-coding RNA from Salvia hispanica, 1088 nucleotides. The record is from RefSeq and is a predicted model, not a curated record. Lineage: Eukaryota; Viridiplantae; Streptophyta; Magnoliopsida; Lamiales; Lamiaceae.